UCUCUGCCGCCGUUUUUAAGAGGCUUUUUAAAAUUCUUGGAAAAAUCUUUAGGAGAGCCUUAGGAAUUUCAGCCUCACUUCUUUAACUCCUGUGUCAUCUUUCAGCAUGUGGAUAUCGGGAUGAAAGCUUUGGUGAGAUUUCUGUCCGGAGCUGAAACAGAAAGCAAAGUUAUCAGAGCAGGCUGAAUGCCAGAGUGGUUGAUGCUGGAAGGGACCUCUGGAGGGGAUCUGGUCCAUCCCUGCUCCACGAGGGAUGGUGGCUCACAUCUCUGUGACAAUAACAUCAACAGGACAAAUCUCAGCAUUUUCUUUGGCUACACAUUUCAAAUGCCAGGAUGACCAAUUUAGAACAGACAUAGAACAAUGCCAGAGAGGAGACCUCUUUACAUGCAAGACUAAAACAAGUUUAUAAAGAAGUCUCAGAGUUAUCAAGGAUUCCUGCACUGGACUGAAGCAGCCAGCCUUGUUUUUCAGGCUAAUCCAGACUACUUCCACAUGGAGCAUCCUUAGCAAAUGUGCACUGAACAGAAAACCUGUGCUGGCAAGUAAUGAGAACAUUGAAUAGACCUCUCCUGUGGGAAACAUAGUAAAGGUAAAAAGACUUUGAAAAGGUGUGAAAGCAGACCUCAGAAUCACAUCUCUGGUUUGUGAAGAUCUUUGGGGAUUGAAGGAGCCACAGAGAUGUUGACAAUCAAAAAAAGAUGUUUUGCAGUAGUUUGUUAUCAGUCCAAAGGGAGGAAACAGCUGGAGAGUUCCUAGAGCAGCUCAUGCAAUCUCCCAAACCAGAUCACUCCUAUCACCCUGUGACCCUGGAACGUGAUGGAGCCAAGAGUGGAAUUGUGGAAUGCCAUGGAACAUCUGCUCUGCUCCAAAGACCAUGCCCUGUCAUUAACAGGGAUAUUCUAAUUUCCUUAUUAUUGUGAUUCCUUAUUAAUGUCAUGAGGAAAAUUCAGAAAAAUGAGGAAGAAGAUAAUCAAAACUGAUGAGGCAGAGGAACAACAUUUUUUCUUAUUUUCCAACUUCUUUCCAGUGCAUGCCUGCUGACCCACCUAUCUCCAGACCCACCUAUCUCCAGACCAGAGAGCCAAGGGCAGGGUCUUUGCCCAAGAAAACAAACUUGUGUACCCUCUGCACGUGGGUUUUGCCUAUGAAUCACCUCCUGGUGUCAUUCCAGAUAUUUUCUGUGCCUGCAUUAAAACCAUUCCAAGAGUGGGAUGGAUAUGAGAUGAAAGAUGCCUUGAUAGAAGAAGUUCUAAUUUCAUGUGGAAUUGCUUCAGGAUUUAUGGAUCUGAGAAAAACCUUGCAGAUGUGUUUCUGAGCAUUAACUUAUCACUGAAUAGGCACUGUUUCAACAUAAUUUAUAUUUCAGUCUUGGGAUUUCCCUGACAGCCUCCUCCAAACCAUUCCUGCCUGCUAAUGUCCUGUCAGAUUUAAUGAUUCUGGCUUCUCUGACAGUUUUAUCCUAAUGUGAAAUAAAUGCCUUCCUGAUGCUUCGCUCUGUGUUGCUGAUGAUGUGAUAGAUCAACAUUUUUAUUUAUGUUUGUCUUUUGGCCUUUAGAGGAUAAUCAAAGCUGGCCACUGAAGGCCAUGAAAUGGAUCCUGUUGGCUUCACUGGAAGCCAGACCAGUCCCCUGCCCAGGUGGGAAUGCAAUGGUCACUGAUGCAGAUAUGGAGGGGAUCAGCCCCAAAGCAGGGGAAUAAAUCUCAAAGGAAACCACUCCUUCUGGAUAACUAAAGACAGAUGAGUGAUUUGAGAGACAAAAUAUUUUUGCCAGAGGAAGUAGAAAGAAGGGAAAGUCCUGAGGCUCUUGGGAUAUCACAGGACCAGUUGCAUUAGGAAGAAGGAAAGUUUUCCUCACUAAAGCUUCUUUCACUUUAUACAACCCAAUGUCCAGGUUUCACACAGCCCCCACAGCCAGCCCUGGUGUAUCACCCACGGGGAUUUACUCCGGACACAGCAUUUCUUUACUCAGCCCUUGCAAGAAAUAACAUCUUUGACUCGAGGCUUAAAUUUUGCUUCAGAGACACUGGGUCCAAUCCAAUGCCAGCAGGACAAAUGGUCCUCCCUGGGAAGUUGUCAUCUUUCCAAAGAAUAAUCUUUUUCUUCAGGUUUUGCCUUUUCUGGGCUGCAAAUCCCCAUGCUGUGGUCCCUCAGGACUGAUUAUCAUGGGAAGAGGAUCACAGUUAUGGGAUUUGUCUCCUAGAUUGAAACAGAGGCUUCUCCAGAGGCUCUCACAAACACAUCCCUCUCCUUUGGAUAAGUGCAUGGAUCCUAACCUGCUGACUUUUGUGUCAAACUUUGGGUUUUAAAAUGAGGUGACAAUGUCUAUUGCCUGAAUUACGGAGCCUACAGAGGGAUGCACAUAGUUCUGGAAACUUGAUAACUGCAAACUAAUACACACCAAGGGACGUAUUCCCCAUGAUAAGACUUGAUUCUCACUUAUUUCGUUGAUUUUUCCGUGCCUGCUUAAUGUGACCAAAAUAUCUUCAGAACAAGUCAAUGCAAGAAAACAGGGCGGCCCCGAAUAACAAAAUAUGAGGUGGAGAAGAAAAUCCUAUCUCUAACACAGAAAAUAUUUCAGAAAACAUCAUUUUUCACUCUACUGUUUCCUUCUCUGAUUUUUUAAUCUACAUUUUUUUCCACAGAAUAAGCCAGACCAAAAAAAAACUCCAACUAACAAAAAACACCAUCCCAAAACCCCAAACCUUCUCAAAAGGUCAGAACGAUGAAUAAUAUUUCAUACUGCAGGUUGCAGAGUCAUUGCAUUCCUUUUCAACAGCUCCAAAACCACAUGAGAAAGUUUGAAAAUACUUUUGAAGAUAGCAGGCAAUGAGUCCACUUACAGAGGGCCUCACUCUCCUACUUAGGCAAUAUUCAGCCUAUAAAACCUAAUAACUGGUAACAGCUUCCAUUAUUAACAGCAAAUCCUCUAUAGGUAAAUUAUCCCUUAAUCUGCCAUUACCACUGUCAACAUUUAAUUAAUGUGUUUAAAGGCUUGGUGCUGCCUCAGUGAGGCAAAGGAAUUUUUUACCAUUUAUUUAGAGCUAAAUCAUAACCCAAUUGCCAUUUUUAGACACCUGAACACUCUCUGACUUUCCAGGUGUGCAACAGCAUUCUUUCCAGCAGCAGCAGUUGGUUUCUAGACAGAUUUUGAAGCCUAAUUUCAGGGCUAAUUUCAGUGUUUUCCUGAAAUAUAAGUAUUGUUUAAAUAUCAAGUACUUCAGUGGUGCUCAGUCAUCAUUAUUUGUCUUCAUUCUGUAAAUGAAUACUCAUGAAUUAAUUAAUCCUAGGGCAUGAUGGAGGGAUAAACCACUUGUGUUUCACACGCAGUUUAUGCAUGUGAGAAAUUUCAGGUUUAGGAGCAGUGCUUUCUUUUCCAUAACUUUCUUUUCCAAUUUAACCCAACUCCUGGAAGGGGCAAUUUUUCCAGGAACCAGUUUGGUAUGAAACUUCUUCUAAUAUAAAGACACCACUGCAUGUGGAA
This is a long non-coding RNA of Melospiza melodia melodia, 3485 nucleotides long. RefSeq lists it as uncharacterized. The record is from RefSeq and is a predicted model, not a curated record. The transcript is spliced from 5 exons. Lineage: Eukaryota; Metazoa; Chordata; Aves; Passeriformes; Passerellidae.